Molecule: ribosomal RNA, 397 nt
Filed under: uncultured bacterium
Lineage: Bacteria
Description: partial 16S ribosomal RNA
Rfam family: Bacterial small subunit ribosomal RNA
Source: RNAcentral
AUACGUAGGUGACAAGCGUUAUCCGGAUUUACUGGGCGUAAAGGGCGUGUAGGCGGUCUUGCAAGUCAGAAGUGAAAUUCCUGAGCUCAACUCGGGCGCUGCUUCUGAAACUGCAGGACUUGAGUGCUGGAGGGGAUAGCGGAAUUCCUAGUGGAGCGGUAAAAUGGGCAGAUAUUAGGAAGAACACCGGUGGCGAAGGCGGCUAUCUAGACAGUAACUGCCGCUGUAGCGCGAAAGCGUGGGGAGCAAACAGGAUUAGAUACCCGGGUGGUCCACGCCGUAAACGAUGAAUACUAGGUGUAGGGGGUAUCGACUCCCUCUGUGCCGCAGUUAACACAAUAAGUAUUCCGCCUGGGGAGUCCGGCCGCAAGGUUGAAACUCAAAGGAAUUGACGGGG